This 2902-nucleotide ribosomal RNA is filed under the name Klebsiella aerogenes. RNAcentral's name for it is "bacterial LSU rRNA". It matches the Rfam family "Bacterial large subunit ribosomal RNA". The record is from RNAcentral. Lineage: Bacteria; Pseudomonadati; Pseudomonadota; Gammaproteobacteria; Enterobacterales; Enterobacteriaceae.
UUAAGCGACUAAGCGUACACGGUGGAUGCCCUGGCAGUCAGAGGCGAUGAAGGACGUGCUAAUCUGCGAAAAGCGUCGGUAAGGUGAUAUGAACCGUUACAGCCGGCGAUGUCCGAAUGGGGAAACCCAGUGUGAUUCGUCACACUAUCGUUAACUGAAUACAUAGGUUAACGAGGCGAACCGGGGGAACUGAAACAUCUAAGUACCCCGAGGAAAAGAAAUCAACCGAGAUUCCCCCAGUAGCGGCGAGCGAACGGGGAGCAGCCCAGAGUCUGAAUCAGCUUGUGUGUUAGUGGAACGGUCUGGAAAGUCCGACGGUACAGGGUGAUAGUCCCGUACACCAAAAUGCACAGGCUGUGAACUCGAAGAGUAGGGCGGGACACGUGGUAUCCUGUCUGAAUAUGGGGGGACCAUCCUCCAAGGCUAAAUACUCCUGACUGACCGAUAGUGAACCAGUACCGUGAGGGAAAGGCGAAAAGAACCCCGGCGAGGGGAGUGAAAAAGAACCUGAAACCGUGUACGUACAAGCAGUGGGAGCACCUUCGGGUGUGACUGCGUACCUUUUGUAUAAUGGGUCAGCGACUUAUAUUCUGUAGCAAGGUUAACCGUAUAGGGGAGCCGCAGGGAAACCGAGUCUUAACUGGGCGUUAAGUUGCAGGGUAUAGACCCGAAACCCGGUGAUCUAGCCAUGGGCAGGUUGAAGGUUGGGUAACACUAACUGGAGGACCGAACCGACUAAUGUUGAAAAAUUAGCGGAUGACUUGUGGCUGGGGGUGAAAGGCCAAUCAAACCGGGAGAUAGCUGGUUCUCCCCGAAAGCUAUUUAGGUAGCGCCUCGUGAACUCAUCUUCGGGGGUAGAGCACUGUUUCGGCUAGGGGGUCAUCCCGACUUACCAACCCGAUGCAAACUACGAAUACCGAAGAAUGUUAUCACGGGAGACACACGGCGGGUGCUAACGUCCGUCGUGAAGAGGGAAACAACCCAGACCGCCAGCUAAGGUCCCAAAGUCACAGUUAAGUGGGAAACGAUGUGGGAAGGCACAGACAGCCAGGAUGUUGGCUUAGAAGCAGCCAUCAUUUAAAGAAAGCGUAAUAGCUCACUGGUCGAGUCGGCCUGCGCGGAAGAUGUAACGGGGCUAAACUGUGCACCGAAGCUGCGGCAGCGACACUAUGUGUUGUUGGGUAGGGGAGCGUUCUGUAAGCCUGCGAAGGUGGCCUGUGAGGGUUGCUGGAGGUAUCAGAAGUGCGAAUGCUGACAUAAGUAACGAUAAUGCGGGUGAAAAGCCCGCACGCCGGAAGACCAAGGGUUCCUGUCCAACGUUAAUCGGGGCAGGGUGAGUCGACCCCUAAGGCGAGGCCGAAAGGCGUAGUCGAUGGGAAACAGGUUAAUAUUCCUGUACUUGGUGUUACUGCGAAGGGGGGACGGAGAAGGCUAUGUUAGCCGGGCGACGGUUGUCCCGGUUUAAGCAUGUAGGCGGAGGUUCCAGGUAAAUCCGGUACCUUUUAACGCUGAGGUGUGAUGACGAGGCACUACGGUGCUGAAGUAACAAAUGCCCUGCUUCCAGGAAAAGCCUCUAAGCAUCAGGUAACAUUAAAUCGUACCCCAAACCGACACAGGUGGUCAGGUAGAGAAUACCAAGGCGCUUGAGAGAACUCGGGUGAAGGAACUAGGCAAAAUGGUGCCGUAACUUCGGGAGAAGGCACGCUGAUAUGUAGGUGAAGCCCCUGCGGGUGGAGCUGAAAUCAGUCGAAGAUACCAGCUGGCUGCAACUGUUUAUUAAAAACACAGCACUGUGCAAACACGAAAGUGGACGUAUACGGUGUGACGCCUGCCCGGUGCCGGAAGGUUAAUUGAUGGGGUUAUCCGUAAGGAGAAGCUCUUGAUCGAAGCCCCGGUAAACGGCGGCCGUAACUAUAACGGUCCUAAGGUAGCGAAAUUCCUUGUCGGGUAAGUUCCGACCUGCACGAAUGGCGUAAUGAUGGCCAGGCUGUCUCCACCCGAGACUCAGUGAAAUUGAACUCGCUGUGAAGAUGCAGUGUACCCGCGGCAAGACGGAAAGACCCCGUGAACCUUUACUAUAGCUUGACACUGAACAUUGAGCCUUGAUGUGUAGGAUAGGUGGGAGGCUUUGAAGCGUGGACGCCAGUCUGCGUGGAGCCAACCUUGAAAUACCACCCUUUAAUGUUUGAUGUUCUAACGUUGGCCCCUUAUCGGGGUUGCGGACAGUGUCUGGUGGGUAGUUUGACUGGGGCGGUCUCCUCCCAAAGAGUAACGGAGGAGCACGAAGGUUAGCUAAUCCUGGUCGGACAUCAGGAGGUUAGUGCAAUGGCAUAAGCUAGCUUGACUGCGAGCGUGACGGCGCGAGCAGGUGCGAAAGCAGGUCAUAGUGAUCCGGUGGUUCUGAAUGGAAGGGCCAUCGCUCAACGGAUAAAAGGUACUCCGGGGAUAACAGGCUGAUACCGCCCAAGAGUUCAUAUCGACGGCGGUGUUUGGCACCUCGAUGUCGGCUCAUCACAUCCUGGGGCUGAAGUAGGUCCCAAGGGUAUGGCUGUUCGCCAUUUAAAGUGGUACGCGAGCUGGGUUUAGAACGUCGUGAGACAGUUCGGUCCCUAUCUGCCGUGGGCGCUGGAGAAUUGAGGGGGGCUGCUCCUAGUACGAGAGGACCGGAGUGGACGCAUCACUGGUGUUCGGGUUGUCAUGCCAAUGGCAUUGCCCGGUAGCUAAAUGCGGAAGAGAUAAGUGCUGAAAGCAUCUAAGCACGAAACUUGCCCCGAGAUGAGUUCUCCCUGAGACUUUAAGUCUCCUGAAGGAACGUUAAAGACGAUGACGUUGAUAGGUCGGGUGUGUAAGCGUAGCGAUACGUUGAGCUAACCGAUACUAAUGAACCGUGAGGCUUAACCUU